ACCAGAGACCUACGUCUCUGUUUAAACAUAACAAAAAAGUGUUUAAUAAUAACAAUACAUUAAAAAUAUUGUGGAAAUUUACUGCUACACAAUUAACGUAUUUAACGGGUACCUGCAAAUAUAACGUUUAAAUAUAGUGCGUUGCUGCAAUAUUCGGAACAUCAUCGUGAAAACAAGCAAUCGCGUUUGAUCAUAAUAUGGAUAUUAAAUACUUGGGUAAAAUAAAUGUUAAGAUUUAUGGUAUAAUAAAAUGCCAGAAUUUUAUCGCUCAUUAUCACUACAAAAGAGUUUUCAAUAUACAUGUACAUUCAAAGACAGUUCAAUUCGCAAAAUAUGCAUGUGUUUGUUUCCAUUUGAAUGCUAAAAUUUAUUAAUAUUUUCCUUAAAUGAAAACGAAACGAAAAUUCAUUCAAUGUAAAAGAAAGUUACAAUUUCAUUUGAAGAUUGUAAUGUAUUGCGCUAUUUUAGGGCUUUAUUUUAUAACUGAUUCAAUGCACCUCUUACACUAAAUUUCGAUCGCUAAUGAAAAAUAACACUAUCGCAUCCACACCACUUAUAAUUAUAAUAAAACUAUUAUAGGUUUUAUUAUUUUUGAAAUAUCUUUUAUUUAAGUCUAAUUCUAAAAAAGAAUACGGGUAUUUAUAGUUUUGUAUUAUGAAAUUGUCGGUAUUUAGUCUUCCGACGACCUUUCCUCUAAUACAAUGAUACAGUAUUGUUAUUCGCGAUUUCCUCCAUCAAAAUCGCAAUCAAUUUUCUGGGAGCCGCCAUCUCGAAACGUUCGCGCCGAACUUAUCGUUCAAUAAGACAAAAUCGGAAACGAACGAUCAUUGGCGAACGUUCGCUGUAACUGAACGCACUACAGGGCUCAAGAAGCGCGACCCUUGCAGAGUCGCAAACUGCCGCCGGAACUAGCAGACGCCAGAAGAAUCUGCACGAAAAAACGCGGAGACCGGCUUCACCGGAAACGUCGGCAAUAUCAAGGGAGCGAAUCUCGUCGUGGAAUCGUGACUCCGAGCAUUUUGCUAUUCCACGGAGCCCGGAAGAAAACGACACCGGAAGCGAGAAGAGCGCCUACGGAGACACCAGCCUUGACUUGGCAACAUUGCAGGCGUAUUUGAAUUGGAUAUAAUUUUUGAAUGUAUGUUUGUUUGUUUCUAUGUAAUAAAGAAUUGUGUUUA
Dreissena polymorpha is the source of this 1178-nucleotide long non-coding RNA. RefSeq lists it as uncharacterized. The transcript is spliced from 2 exons. Lineage: Eukaryota; Metazoa; Mollusca; Bivalvia; Myida; Dreissenidae. The record is from RefSeq and is a predicted model, not a curated record.